RNAcentral lists this ribosomal RNA (508 nucleotides) under uncultured bacterium. Its description in RNAcentral is "bacterial SSU rRNA". It matches the Rfam family "Bacterial small subunit ribosomal RNA", at positions 8 to 526 of the family's 1533-position model. The record is from RNAcentral.
AGAGUUUGAUCAUGGCUCAGGAUGAACGCUGGCGGCGUGCUUAACACAUGCAAGUCAAGGGGGCCCAGCAAUGGGCAACCGGCGAACGGGUGCGUAACACGUGAGCAAUCUACCGAAUUGUGGGGGAUAGCCGGCCCAACGGCCGGGUAAUACCGCAUACGAUCGAGACGAGGCAUUUCGACUCGAUGAAAUCUACGGAGCAAUUCGAGGAGCUCGCGGCCUAUCAGCUAGGUGGCGAGGUAACGGCUCACCAAGGCUACGACGGGUAGCUGGUCUGAGAGGAUGGCCAGCCACAUUGGGACUGAGAUACGGCCCAGACUCCUACGGGAGGCAGCAGUGGGGAAUCUUGCGCAAUGGCCUAACGGCUGACGCAGCGACGCCGCGUGAGGGAUGACGCUCUUCGGAGUGUAAACCUCUUUUGCCCGGGACGAAUUGCCAACAUCAGUUGGCUUGACGGUACCGGGUGAAUAAGCACCGGCUAACUCCGUGCCAGCAGCCGCGGUAAUUC